UACGUAGGGUCCAAGCGCUAUCCGGAAUUACUGGGCGUAAAGCGUACGUAGGCGGAUGUUUAAGUGCAACACGAAAUCUGACGGCUCAACCGUACAGACUGUGCUGCAUACUGGAUGUCUAGAGAAUGGCAGAGGCAAGUGGAAUUACUGAAGUAGGGGUAAUAUCCGUAGAUAUCAGUAGGAACACCAAUGGCGAAGGCAGCUUGCUGGGCCAUUUCUGACGCUAAGGUACGAAAGCGUGGGGAGCGAACAGG
This 254-nucleotide ribosomal RNA is filed under the name uncultured bacterium. Its description in RNAcentral is "partial 16S ribosomal RNA". It matches the Rfam family "Bacterial small subunit ribosomal RNA", at positions 524 to 776 of the family's 1533-position model. The record is from RNAcentral.